RNAcentral lists this ribosomal RNA (1530 nucleotides) under Plica plica (tree runner). RNAcentral describes it as "16S rRNA". It matches the Rfam family "Bacterial large subunit ribosomal RNA", at positions 371 to 2831 of the family's 2925-position model. Lineage: Eukaryota; Metazoa; Chordata; Lepidosauria; Squamata; Tropiduridae. The record is from RNAcentral.
UUCCUUACAAUAGCUCAACUAACUAUUCUAAACACCACCCGAUUAAAACAAACCAUUUGACACCACUAGUAAAGGAGAUUAAACAUAAACUAUUGAAGCUAUAAUACAAGUACCGAAAGGGAACAAUGAAAAAUAAUGAAAAAUAAAAAUUAAAAAGCAAAGAUAUAACCUAAUACCUCUUGCAUCACGGUCUAUCAAGUCCAAACCAAACAAAGAGAUCUAUAGUUUGCCUCCCCGAAAUCAAGUGAGCUAUGUUAAAACAGCUAAAACUGAGCCAACCCGUCUCUGUAGCAAAAGAGUGGGAAGAUUUUAACAUCGAGGUGAAAAGCCUACCGAACUUGUUAAUAGCUGGUUGCCCGUUAAAUGAACUUAAAUUCAAACUUAGGACCAAAUCGCAUUAAACCUAGCCAAAACUUCUCCUAAAAGAUAGUCAAUUAGGGUACAGCCUUAUUGAAUCAGGACUCAACCUGAAAUAGCGAGAAAAUAAUCAAAACAUAAAAGUAGGCCUCAAAGCAGCCAUCAAUUAUUAUGGCGUCACAGCAAUAUACACAAAAAUUCCACUAAUUAUUAUUAUCUCCUACUUCACAACGGGCUACUCUAAAAUAUUAGAAGAACUAAUGCUAGAACUAGUAACAUGACUCUAAUCUCCAUGCACAACUGUAAAUCAGCAAUAGAAGAUUCUACUGAAAAUUAACCAAAAGUAAAACCCCAUUUUCCCCUACAAAUAUACUGUUAACCCGACACAGGAGUGCUAAAAAGAAGGUUAAAAAUUAAAGAAGGAACUCGGCAAAAACUAGUCCCAACUGUUUACCAAAAACAUAGCCUUUAGCUCAAUAAGUAUUAAAGGUAGCGCCUGCCCAGUGAAGUUUUCAACGGCCGCGGUAUCCUAACCGUGCAAAGGUAGCGUAAUCAUUUGUCCUCUAAAUAAGGACCAGUAUGAACGGCUAAAUGCGGACCAACCUGUCUCCUUUAAUCAACCAGUGAAACUGAUCUACCAGUACAAAAGCUGGUAUAACAAUAUAAGACGAGAAGACCCUGUGGAGCUUAAAAUUAUAAUCAUACCAACCUUUAACCACAUAAACUCUUUGACCCUAUAAUUUUCAGUUGGGGCGACUUCGGAACCAAACCAAACUUCCAAGCAAACAGGCCUUAAUCCUAACCAAGACCAACAAGUCAAGCAAAAUGACCCAGUAAAACUGAUCAACGAACCAAGUUACCCCAGGGAUAACAGCGCAAUCUUCUUCAAGAGUCCAUAUCGACAAGAAGGUUUACGACCUCGAUGUUGGAUCAGGACACCCAAUUGGUGCAGCCGCUAUUAAAGGUUCGUUUGUUCAACGAUUAACAGUCCUACGUGAUCUGAGUUCAGACCGGAGCAAUCCAGGUCGGUUUCUAUCUAUAUAAUUUUUUUCCAGUACGAAAGGACCGAAAAAACAAAGCCACUGCUAAAAGUAUGCUUUGACCCUGUUUAAAGCUGAAAAAAACUAAAGCUUAAACAAACCAGAGUUGUUAACCCCCAAUAUCAGGGGGUUA